Molecule: long non-coding RNA, 318 nt
Filed under: Olea europaea (common olive)
Lineage: Eukaryota; Viridiplantae; Streptophyta; Magnoliopsida; Lamiales; Oleaceae
Description: long non-coding RNA (OEUR_LNC007645)
Source: RNAcentral
GGUGCUCGCUUUCGCAACAACUGCCCACUUGGAGACAGGCUGCUGCUCGCUUGGUUCAUACCUGUGCUUGGGAGGCAAUAUUAUCUAGCAAGAAUCUUGAUUCGAUUUUAACUGUGAUUUUCAAUCCCUUUUCACCCUAAACACUAUCCAUUAUAAAUACACAAGCCAUGGAAUGUUCCAAAGUGUGGUUGAACAUUAUAUUCAUUAUAGAGAUCAUUAUUUGAAGGUCAUAAACUCAUUUCAAAAGGUCUCUUGAUUCAAUCACAAAUAUAUUUAAUAUUUUCCCAUUUAUUGUUUUCCAUCGGUUAAGCUUUUAUU